AUUGAACGCUAGCGGGAUGCCUUACACAUGCAAGUCGAACGGCAGCACGGACUUCGGUCUGGUGGCGAGUGGCGAACGGGUGAGUAAUGUAUCGGAACGUGCCCAGUAGCGGGGGAUAACUACGCGAAAGCGUAGCUAAUACCGCAUACGCCCUACGGGGGAAAGCAGGGGAUCGCAAGACCUUGCACUAUUGGAGCGGCCGAUAUCGGAUUAGCUAGUUGGUGGGGUAACGGCUCACCAAGGCGACGAUCCGUAGCUGGUUUGAGAGGACGACCAGCCACACUGGGACUGAGACACGGCCCAGACUCCUACGGGAGGCAGCAGUGGGGAAUUUUGGACAAUGGGGGAAACCCUGAUCCAGCCAUCCCGCGUGUGCGAUGAAGGCCUUCGGGUUGUAAAGCACUUUUGGCAGGAAAGAAACGUCAUGGGUUAAUACCCCGUGAAACUGACGGUACCUGCAGAAUAAGCACC
Molecule: ribosomal RNA, 471 nt
Filed under: Achromobacter xylosoxidans
Lineage: Bacteria; Pseudomonadati; Pseudomonadota; Betaproteobacteria; Burkholderiales; Alcaligenaceae
Description: bacterial SSU rRNA
Rfam family: Bacterial small subunit ribosomal RNA
Source: RNAcentral